This 460-nucleotide ribosomal RNA is filed under the name uncultured bacterium. RNAcentral's name for it is "partial 16S ribosomal RNA". It matches the Rfam family "Bacterial small subunit ribosomal RNA", at positions 338 to 795 of the family's 1533-position model. The record is from RNAcentral.
CCUACGGGGGGCAGCAGUGAGGAAUAUUGGUCAAUGGCCGUAAGGCUGAACCAGCCAAGUCGCGUGCAGGAUGAAGGACCUCUGGUUUGUAAACUUCUUUUAUAGGGGAAUAAAGGUAUCCACGUGUGGAUAUUUGCAUGUACCCUAUGAAUAAGCAUCGGCUAACUCCGGGCCAGCAGCCGCGGUAAUACGGAGGAUGCGAGCGUUAUCCGGAUUUAUUGGGUUUAAAGGGUGCGUAGGGUGGUUUUUAAGUGAGCGGUGAAAGUUUGUGGCUCAACCAUAAAAUUGCCGUUGAAACUGGAAGACUUGAGUGUGUUUGAGGUAGGCGGAAUGCGUGGUGUAGCGGUGAAAUGCAUAGAUAUCACGCAGAACUCCGAUUGCGAAGGCAGCUUACUGGGCCAAAACUGACGCUGAGGCACGAAAGCGUGGGGAUCAAACAGGAUUAGAUACCCCGGUAGUC